Molecule: ribosomal RNA, 1154 nt
Filed under: Tuberaphis sp. 2 TTX-2016
Lineage: Eukaryota; Metazoa; Arthropoda; Insecta; Hemiptera; Hormaphididae
Description: partial 16S ribosomal RNA
Source: RNAcentral
AAUUUUUUUAAUUAAUAAAAAUUAUGUUUGUAAUUUAUUUUUUUAUAAAAGUAUUUUAUUUAUUUUUUGUUUUAGUAUUGAGUAAAAAUAAAUUUUUAGAUUUAUAGUUAAUUAGUAUUGUAAAAGAAAUUUAAUAAAUUUAAAAAAGAUUUAUUUAGUACCUUUUGUAUCAGGGUUAAUUAAAAUUAUUAAUUUAUUAUUAAUUUCUCAAAAUUUAUAGAGUUAAUUUUAUUAUUAAGUUAUUGUUUAAAAAAUAUUUAAAAAAUAAUUUUAGUUUUUAGAUUUAAUUUCGUUAUGAUAUAUUUAGUUAUUUAAGAUUUAAAUUAAAUUUAUAAUUUUAAUAGUUAUAUUUAUUUAUUUUAUAAUUUAUAUUUUAAAUUUAAAUUAUUUUAGGGAUAAGCUUAAAAUUUAUAUAUAAUAAUUUAUAGGGAUUAAUAUUUUAUAGGAAUAAAAAUUUUUAUUUAAGUUUGUAAAAAUUUGUUAUUAAUUUAAAUUUAAUUUAUUAUAAUUUUUAUUUAUUUUUUAUAUUAAAUUUUAUAAUAUAAUAUUUUUAUUAUAGUAAUAAUGAUUAAAUUAGUAUAAUUAAUAUUUAUUAAUUAUGAAUUCGGCAAAAAUUUAUUUUCAUCUGUUUAACAAAAACAUUGUAUUAAUUUUUAUUUAAUAUAGGAUCUGCUCAAUGAAAAUUUUUUAAAUAGCUGCAGUAUUUUGACUGUGCAAAGGUAGCAUAAUAAUUAGUCUUUUAAUUGGGGACUUGAAUGAAAGAUUUGAUGAAAAAUAAACUUUAUUAUUAAUAUAUUUAAAAUUUUAUUUUUAAGUAAAAAAGCUUAAAUUGUUUAAAGGGACGAUAAGACCCUAUAAAACUUUAUAAUUAUUAAAUAUUUAUAUUUAUUUGUUAAAUUAUUAUUUAAAUUUUAAUAAUUAUUUUAUUGGGGUGAUAAAAAAAUUUUAUUAACUUUUUUUAAAAUUUUACAUUAUUUAAUGAAUUUUUGAAUUAAAAUUUUUAAUUAUAGGAAAAAGUUACUUUAGGGAUAACAGCGUAAUUAAUUUUUUAAGUUCUAAUUUUAAAAUUAGUUUGCGACCUCGAUGUUGAAUUAAGAUUAUUCUUAGGUGCAAAAUUUUAAGUAUUAGGUCUGUUCGACCUUAAAUCUUACAUG